RNAcentral lists this ribosomal RNA (256 nucleotides) under uncultured bacterium. RNAcentral describes it as "partial 16S ribosomal RNA". It matches the Rfam family "Bacterial small subunit ribosomal RNA", at positions 524 to 777 of the family's 1533-position model. The record is from RNAcentral.
UACGGGGGGGGGCAAGCGUUGUUCGGAAUUACUGGGCGUAAAGGGCGCGUAGGCGGUCAGAUAAGUCAGCUGUGAAAACCUCGGGCUUAACCUGGGAACUGCAUUUGUGACUGCAUGGCUAGAGUACGGUAGAGGGGGAUGGAAUUCCGCGUGUAGCAGUGAAAUGCGUAGAUAUGCGGAGGAACACCGAUGGCGAAGGCAAUCCCCUGGACCUGUACUGACGGCUCAUGCACGAAAGCGUGGGGAGCAAACAGGG